Long non-coding RNA from Gorilla gorilla gorilla (western lowland gorilla), 3156 nucleotides. RefSeq lists it as uncharacterized. The record is from RefSeq and is a predicted model, not a curated record. NCBI's taxonomy places the organism in Eukaryota, Metazoa, Chordata, Mammalia, Primates, Hominidae. The transcript is spliced from 5 exons.
GACAAGAGGAUGGGACUGCAGUUGUGGCUGCCAGGUCUCACUCUCCCUUAGAUGGUCGGCGGGGUGGGGGUGGAGGCCAGGGCUGUAGUGCAGCUCCCGCAGGUGCUGGCUCAGGGGGAGCAGGCAGGCUCCGGUUUUCGGUAAUCCUCCUGGAUGGGGAUGGUGCUGCCCUCCUCCUCCCUGGGGCAGCUGUAACGACAAGGCUCUGCAGGCUCCACAGGACUUUCUCCUUUGUCUGCAGAAGGAGAUCCGAUGAGUCUUGGCCAGCAGUGGGGGCAGGGGGAGACGGGAGAAGGAGAUGGGUAGAGGCGGGUGCGCUUGGGGGAGGGGUGUCAGGAGCACGCCAGCUAAGGGGAGAGAAGGGGUAGGACCAAGGCUGGUGAAGUGGAGCUGGUGGGUUUCAGUGAGAUUCCAGGCGUGGGCAGUGGGGUUGAGCCAGUGGGGUGUGGUGCAAGGGCAGGACCGGAGACCUGUGUUCUGUCUCUUACUUGAUCUGUAUUUCCUUCGUUGAUGGAGGAACAGGGCCCCGGCCAGGGUGAAAACAAGGAACAUUCCAGAGAAGAUCACAAGGAUGCGAAUAAAAUCGGAGCUGCACAGGGAUCUUUGGGCUGUAAUAGGAGGGGACACACAGGGGUUAGGGGAAGGUCUAGCCCUUGGCUCCUUCAGCCCAGCCCUCCUGUCACCUUGCCUCUCCCCUUUCCCCCACCUUAUUCUAUCCCACCCGCCACCGUUGGCCAACUCCUCUCCUAAACAGUGGACUCUGCUUUUUCCCCUCCUCUUAUCCCUAAUCCUAGGAGCUUUCUGUCUGGCUUCCCUCCUGGCCCCUCAUGUAUGCAUUCUCUCUAGCGGUGGGGAUUAAGGAGAAAACUCACGUGGCCAGUGGGUAGAGAGAGUCCGGGCAGGCAGCUGCCUGAAGUCAGCCAGAGUCUGCAUGUGCCCAGCUGUCCUGGCCUCCAGCAUCUCUGGAAAAACAGAGACAGAAUGAGUAGCAGCAGGGAACCCCAUAGGGCACAUCUGAAGGCCUGAGAGGUGCUGGACGGGAUGGGAAGGCAGAAACAGGCUGACCUUAUCUAGGGGUAGGAGUGGGGAGUACUGGCUGGGGUAUCACCGCUACCCCACGUGAUGGCACAGAGAGUUGCCUGGAACUUACCACUGACAUAAGAGUCUCACUCUGUCACCCAGGCUGGAGUGCAGUGGCACGAUCUCAGCUCACUGCAACCUCCGCCUCCUGAGUUCAAGUGAUUCUCCUGCCUCAGCCUCCCUAGUAGCUGGGAUUACAGGACAAGGAGAGGGACAAAUUCCUUCUUGGCAUCCUUAUGGCCCUGUGACCUGCUAAUGAAUGCUGACCCUGAGUUGCUACUAGAAUUUGGUUUCCUUGUGGCUUCCCAGGAGUUGUGAGCCAUGUUGGAUAAGGACCUGCAAGGGAAGAAUGAGGAAGCCUGGGACAGUGCAGGAGGGGAGAGCACUGGUGGUAGGGAGGAGUGAUGACAAGGGUCUCCGCCAAAAGGGAAAUGGAGGGGUUAAAGAAGCUGCUGGGGAGGGUUAAAAACAGUGUGUUCUCACUCGUAGGUGGGAAUUGAACAAUGAGAACACUUGGACACAGGAAGGGGAACAUCACACACUGGGGCCUGUCGUGGGGUGUGGGGAGGGGGGAGGGAUAGCAUUAGGAGAUAUAACUAAUGUAAAUGAUGAGUUAAUGGGUGCAGCACACCAACAUGGCACAUGUAUACAUAUGUAACAAACCUGCACAUUGUGUACAUGUACCCUAGAACUUAAAGUAUAAUUAAAAAACAAAACAAAACAAAAACAAUGAGGUGCUAUUGUUUUAGUGGUGAGUAUCCGGAGACCUGGGAGUUCUAUUUACCAGGUAUAACCUGGGCUCAAAAUUCCAGGCUGACUUCAGGCAUGUCCUCAUCUCAUAGAUGCCAGCACUAAGGCCCAGAGAGGGCCGAGCUCAUUCAGCCCACCCAUCUUCUCACCCCUGGCCGCAUUUCCCGGGGGUCCUUCUGCAGCCAGGUGCUGCUGCGGUACUUUGGGAUCUAUUGGCUGAGCUCCCAGAGAAGGAUCAUGGAUUGGGCUAGUUUGGAACAAGUGAAGGGACUGAAGAUGGGCUCAGUAUGGGGCGAAGACCUUCAGGAAGGGUCUGCAGAGUGAGUAGGGGGGUUUUGACUAGGAAAAGUUCCAACCCUGCAGGGGCCGCUGCCAAGAGAAAAGCAUCUAUUACAGUUACAUUUUUAAGUUAAGUAGACUGAAGAAUAUUUCUUGUGUAUUAAAGAUGUUCCUCUUUGGUUGAUUUGCAAUGGAAAAGCUUUUGUUUUCUUUUUUUUUUUUUGGAAACAGGGUCUCACUCUGCUCACUCUGUCUCCCAAGCUGGAGUGCAGUGGUACAGUCACGGCUCACUGCAGCCUCCACUUCCUGGACUCAAGUGAUCUUCUCACUUCAGCCUUCUGAGUAGCUGGUACUACAGCCCCCUCUGCAGCUCUUCAUUGGGGUCCACUCAAGUCAGAAGCCGCAUCUGGGUGUGAUUCAGAGAGCUGUUUAUGCAAAACCACCCUUGUCACCAUCAGGCAAGGCACCUGAAUUCCCACCGCAGAGAGUGCUGUGGCCCUGAGGACUUUUCUGUCACCAGCCAUUUCCAGGUAGACCCAGUGUAAUCACAAGCAUCCUUGUAAGUGGAAAAGAGGCAGAGGAGACAGCACCAGAGAGGCAGCUGCGUGAGAAGGAUCAAGAUGUUGCUGACUUUGAAGCUGGAAGAAGAAGGCCAUGAGCCUCAGUAUGUGGGAGGCUUCUAGAAGCUGGAAGGGGCAAGGAGAUGGAUUUGACCCUUCAGCCUCCAGGGGCAGCUGUACCUGCCAUCACUGAUUGUAGCCUGGUGAGGCCUGUUUUAGACUUCUGACCUGUAGAGCUGUAACAUAAUACAUUUGGGUUGUUUUCAACCACUAAGUUUGUGGUAAUUUGUUGCAGCAGCUGUAGAAAAUGAAUACAUAUGAAUCCUCUGGCAUUUGUUUGAGAUUUGCUCUAUGGCCUAGUAUGUGGUUGUAAAUGUUCCAUCUGUGCCUGAAAAAAUGUAUAUUUCUAAUUCAGUAGUCUCUGCUUUUUUUUUAUUUUGUACCCCAUCAAUAAAAUGAUUUUCUGCAUGUAUCCCCAAAUAAACAA